This 455-nucleotide ribosomal RNA is filed under the name Neisseria sicca. RNAcentral's name for it is "bacterial SSU rRNA". It matches the Rfam family "Bacterial small subunit ribosomal RNA", at positions 30 to 485 of the family's 1533-position model. The record is from RNAcentral. Lineage: Bacteria; Pseudomonadati; Pseudomonadota; Betaproteobacteria; Neisseriales; Neisseriaceae.
AUUGAACGCUGGCGGCAUGCUUUACACAUGCAAGUCGGACGGCAGCACAGAGAAGCUUGCUUCUUGGGUGGCGAGUGGCGAACGGGUGAGUAACAUAUCGGAACGUACCGAGCAGUGGGGGAUAACUAAUCGAAAGAUUAGCUAAUACCGCAUAUCUUCUGAGGAAGAAAGCAGGGGACCAUUUGGCCUUGCGCUGUUUGAGCGGCCGAUAUCUGAUUAGCUAGUUGGUGGGGUAAAGGCCUACCAAGGCGACGAUCAGUAGCGGGUCUGAGAGGAUGAUCCGCCACACUGGGACUGAGACACGGCCCAGACUCCUACGGGAGGCAGCAGUGGGGAAUUUUGGACAAUGGGCGCAAGCCUGAUCCAGCCAUGCCGCGUGUCUGAAGAAGGCCUUCGGGUUGUAAAGGACUUUUGUCAGGGAAGAAAAGGGCGGGGUUAAUACCCCUGUCUGAUGA